CAACGGGAGAGGCCACAACAGUGAGAGGCCCGUGUACCGCAAAAAAAAAAGAAUUAGUCCAGAUAACCUGGAAGGAUUUUCACAAGGUUGUAUUGAGUAAGAAAAACAAGAUGCAUAAAGGUGUGCAUUAUUUCAUUAUUGUAAAACAAACAAGAUUUUAAAAGCCUGGAUACAUAUAUCUAUGUAUAUGUGUAUAUUAUACACAUAUUAUCUAUAGAAUUAAGUGAAUAGGGAGGGAAAAAGAAAAGAACACAAACUAGGCUGCUAAUAUGGUGAUCCAGCCAGGAGAUGGAGAAAUUGUAUACUGAUAGAGCAGGAGUAGAGGUGGAAAUUCUCUAGUACUAUUCUAUCAUGAUUCUAUCCAUUCAUAGUAAAUUUAUUUCCAAUAUAUCACUUCUGAUUCUUACUCCUUUUAGACUUAUACUUAGUUUCCUAGAACUAGAUAUAGGUCAAUAUAGCCUUGACUUAUACAAAGGGUCCCCACCUUCUCUCUCCAGAUACACUUUUUGAACAAAUUAUUCCCUCCCAUAUUAUUAUCAUGAUUCACAUCUCAUCAAAUUUUAGUGACACAUUCUAGCAUCAAAAUCAUUUUAAUACCUAUUCUCUCUUUUCUAAGAAUGUAAAUAUCUUAGGCCACAUAUAUUAUUUCCCUCCCUCAUCAUUGUGCUUCUUUCUAUGUCACACCUAUGAUAGUCUAUAGUACCAUGAGACCAGAAUUUUAUCUGUGUAUCUUCUUUCUGGAAAUUUUCGUUGUAAACAAUAUACUUCAUGAGCAGGUCACCUUGUGUCCUGCUGAAUACUCAGGCCUCAUGAGGUGUUGUCUAAGCUUCUCAGAUACUGAAUAUAUCACGGUAUGAAAGAAGCAACUCAAGUGACAUGAAGAAACUUUAAUGAAGAGAUUGUUAGCAGAGAUUUGGGACCCAGCAAAGGAAAUGGAGGCACACAGGGGCUUGCAAGAGCAGGAAGCUGUGACCACCCUAAGCCUAAAGGGACAAGGGAAGGAAUGAUGCUCCUGGAGACCAGGGAUUCCUGAAACCAUGAAAGAGUCAACCAAUAGAAGUUGCAGCUGUAUAUGGAUACAGCCACUGUCAAGAUCUCAACAAAGCUGGAAGAAAGAGAGGAGAAUAGGUAACCUCUCUUCCUGCCUGCUGAUCUUGUGUUGGGGCCUCCCAUUAGAAGAACCGGUUGGAAGCCACAGAGCAGGGGACUGGAUGACCAGUCUGCUUCCAGGACAUAACACCAGGCAGAGAAGGUCUAAGAAUAAAUAAGGAGAAGAAAACGUCCUGAUGUAAUAACAACAACUGACUGGCUUGCUCCAGUCAUAUGAGACGGAACUUACAGUAGACAGGUCCUGGAAAAAUAUUACAAAAGGCUGGACAUUACCAUAGGCUUGGCUGUAAUACGUGCUCCCAGAAAGUCUUCUGCUCGGAACUUGCAAGAGUUCAUCCAAUCUGCUAAUAAGUACCUUUUGGUUGGCUACAAUGUUAUCUUUUACAUCUUGCUGGAUAGCUUCUCCAAGCUGCCUCCCAUAGUGUUAGGUCCCCUUCGAACAUUUAAAGUAUUUUUGGUGAUCAAAGAGAAUAUAUGGAAAAAAAAAGAUAAUAUAUGGGAAGACUUACAUUUCAUAUACAUGAAGAACUUACUUGACUACAUCAUAACACACAUCCAGCAUGAAGUCAACUUUCUCUUCAUUAUGACUGCAAACCAGAUCUUCAAGGAUGACUUUGGAGUGGAAACCCUGGGAAAAUCUGUAGCUCAACUUAGUGCAUGGUGGUAUUUUAAAAAUGGUAAAACUUUCCCCUAUGAGAGAACGUAAAUCUGCAGCUUUCAUCCCUUUUGAAGAGGGAGAUUUCUAUUACCAUAGUGCAAUUUUUGGUGACACAGUCCAGGAGGUUUUAAACCUCCUUAAAGUAUAUCAGAAAGGAGCUAUUCAAGACACUGAAAAUAGACUUACCAGCACAUAUGAACAUCACCUAAACAAAUAUAUUUUUAUUAAGAAACCCACUAAAUUAUUAUCACCAGAAUACAAUUGGGAUCCAAGUUUUAGAACUCCUCCACAAAUUAAAUCUGUUAAGAUACCAUGGCAGUUAAAAAGUGUUUGAUGGUAUUAUUAUUAGAUUUAUGGAUUAACAAGUUCACUACAAUAAUUCCUCAAAUAUAAAACUCAUUAAAGUUUUCAGUGUUUUAGAAACUUACAAAAAUAUGCAAUCUUCCUAAAGAAAUUGUUUUUCUCCUUCCAAUUUUGAAAUAUCUAAAUCUACCUAUGCUGGAUUAAGAAUAAAUGGUUAUUAAUUUAAUGUUAAUGCACAGUGAUGUUAUUAUAUAUAAAAUAUAGAUAUAUAUUAUAAAUAAUGUAAAAAUGCUUUUGAAGGCAUAAAAUGAAUGUUUCAUGAAGAAACACAUCCAGACUGUAGUUCAAAAAAUAAUAAUAGAUGGAUAGAUAAAUAGGUACAUAGGUAGACAGAGAGACAGAUAGACAGAUAGAUAUACACACAAAUAAUCAAAGGGAUAUGUGUAAGGGAAAAAUAUUCAUCAACUCACUCAUCAAAUAUUUACUCAGUUUUUUUAGUGUUGGGAUAUAUAUUGCUUGUGAUUAAUCUCCACAAUUAGUAUUCAUUCUAUCUAGUGCCUGAUUGAAUUUAAGUGAACUAAAGACAUUCUAUGAAAUACGUAUCUUACUUUUAUUGUUACAAAGAUAUUGAGUUCAUUUUCUUUUUAAUGCUACAAGAAUUUUAUUUUAAAAAAUUAGAUAUCUACUGAAUUCCACGGUAGGUAUAUGAGAUGCAGUCAGGGAUAGAAAAAAUGUUUCAAAAAUAUAUCAUGUGCCCUCAAGCAGCCUACAGUCUAGCAAGGGAGAUAAAACUAAUCAUAAAUAUCUCUUUUACGAGUUUAAAAGUGCCAAAAGCUCAUAAGGAAGACACGGCUAAAACGCAUGUGGUUCAGGAAAGGGAGCAAUCAUCUUCAUAAGAACCUUUAUGUAGUCACAUCCACUAUGUUUCCGUAAACUAGUGAGGUAUUACAGCAUAGUUACAAGAGCUAGAGGUUCUAAAGUCAAAAUAGGUUAUUAUUUUAAUCCUCUUUUUUGGGAGAAAAACUGAGUCUUAGUAAGUAGUCUAUAAAAGAUAAGGAUUAUUGGCUAUUGAAAACACUAAAAUUAAGGAAUAUUGAUGAUGACUGUGGCAGGAAGACCUUAUGAUGGUCCCCGAUGAUCCCCAUACCCUGGUAUUCAUGUCCUUGUGUAGUCCCCCCCACCUGUCCAGCUGCAUUGUGAGCUGAAUGUAGUGACUUCCUUCCAAUCUAUAGAAUAUAACAAAGAUGUUGGGAUGUCCCUUUCAUGAUUAGGUUACAUAUGAUUGUGAUUUCCAUCUUACUAGCAGACUCUCUUUCUUGCUGUCUUUGAUGAAGCAAGUUGAAAUGUUGGAGAGGCCCUCAUAGCAAGGAACUGAGGGCAGUCAUCAGCCAACAGCUAGAAAGGAACUGAGGCCUUCAGUCCAACAACCCUCAAGGAACUGAAUUCUGCCAACAACCAUGUAAGUGAGUUUAGAAGCAGAUCUUUCCCCAGUUGAGUCUUCACAUGAGACCUUAUCUCCAGCCAACACCUUGAUUGCAGCCUUGUGAGAGACCCAGAAGUAGAAGGUCCAGCUAAACCAUGCCCAGAUUGUUGUGUUUUUUUUAAAAUAGAUUAAUUUAAUUUAUUUAUUUAUUGGCUGCGUUGCGUCUUCUGUGGCUGUGCACGGGCUUUCUCUAGU
Molecule: non-coding RNA, 3749 nt
Organism: Delphinapterus leucas (beluga whale)
Lineage: Eukaryota; Metazoa; Chordata; Mammalia; Artiodactyla; Monodontidae
Source: RefSeq, a predicted model, not a curated record